Molecule: ribosomal RNA, 640 nt
Filed under: uncultured bacterium
Lineage: Bacteria
Description: bacterial SSU rRNA
Rfam family: Bacterial small subunit ribosomal RNA
Source: RNAcentral
GCGUGGGUAACCUGCCUUAUACAGGGGGAUAACAGUUAGAAAUGACUGCUAAUACCGCAUAAGCGCACAGGAUUGCAUGAUCUGGUGUGAAAAACUCCGGUGGUAUAAGAUGGACCCGCGUCUGAUUAGCUGGUUGGUGAGGUAACGGCCCACCAAGGCGACGAUCAGUAGCCGACCUGAGAGGGUGACCGGCCACAUUGGGACUGAGACACGGCCCAAACUCCUACGGGAGGCAGCAGUGGGGAAUAUUGCACAAUGGGGGAAACCCUGAUGCAGCGACGCCGCGUGAGCGAAGAAGUAUUUCGGUAUGUAAAGCUCUAUCAGCAGGGAAGAAAAAAUGACGGUACCUGACUAAGAAGCCCCGGCUAACUACGUGCCAGCAGCCGCGGUAAUACGUAGGGGGCAAGCGUUAUCCGGAUUUACUGGGUGUAAAGGGAGCGCAGGCGGUGCGGCAAGUCUGAUGUGAAAGCCCGGGGCUCAACCCCGGGACUGCAUUGGAAACUGUCGUACUUGAGUAUCGGAGAGGUAAGUGGAAUUCCUAGUGUAGCGGUGAAAUGCGUAGAUAUUAGGAGGAACACCAGUGGCGAAGGCGGCUUACUGGACGAUAACUGACGCUGAGGCUCGAAAGCGUGGGGAGCAA